RNAcentral lists this ribosomal RNA (698 nucleotides) under uncultured bacterium. RNAcentral describes it as "bacterial SSU rRNA". It matches the Rfam family "Bacterial small subunit ribosomal RNA", at positions 65 to 777 of the family's 1533-position model. The record is from RNAcentral.
GACGGUGAUGAGGAGCUUGCUUCUCUGAUCAGUGGCGAACGGGUGAGUAACACGUGAGCAAUCUGCCCUUGACUCUGGGAUAAGCGUUGGAAACGACGUCUAAUACCGGAUACGACCUUUGGAGGCAUCUCUGGGGGUGGAAAGAAUUUUGGUCAAGGAUGAGCUCGCGGCCUAUCAGCUAGUUGGUGAGGUAAUGGCUCACCAAGGCGACGACGGGUAGCCGGCCUGAGAGGGUGACCGGCCACACUGGGACUGAGACACGGCCCAGACUCCUACGGGAGGCAGCAGUGGGGAAUAUUGCACAAUGGGCGAAAGCCUGAUGCAGCAACGCCGCGUGAGGGACGACGGCCUUCGGGUUGUAAACCUCUUUUAGUAGGGAAGAAGCGAAAGUGACGGUACCUGCAGAAAAAGCACCGGCUAACUACGUGCCAGCAGCCGCGGUAAUACGUAGGGUGCAAGCGUUGUCCGGAAUUAUUGGGCGUAAAGAGCUCGUAGGCGGUUUGUCGCGUCUGCUGUGAAAACCCGAGGCUCAACCUCGGGCCUGCAGUGGGUACGGGCAGACUAGAGUGCGGUAGGGGAGAUUGGAAUUCCUGGUGUAGCGGUGGAAUGCGCAGAUAUCAGGAGGAACACCAAUGGCGAAGGCAGAUCUCUGGGCCGUAACUGACGCUGAGGAGCGAAAGCAUGGGGAGCGAACAGGA